GACGAACGCUGGCGGCGUGCCUAAUACAUGCAAGUAGAACGCUGAAGGAGGAGCUUGCUUCUCCGGAUGAGUUGCGAACGGGUGAGUAACGCGUAGGUAACCUGCCUGGUAGCGGGGGAUAACUAUUGGAAACGAUAGCUAAUACCGCAUAAUAGUAGAUGUUGCAUGACAUUUACUUAAAAGGUGCAAUUGCAUCACUACCAGAUGGACCUGCGUUGUAUUAACUAGUUGGUGGGGUAACGGCUCACCAAGGCGACGAUACAUAGCCGACCUGAGAGGGUGAUCGGCCACACUGGGACUGAGACACGGCCCAGACUCCUACGGGAGGCAGCAGUAGGGAAUCUUCGGCAAUGGACGGAAGUCUGACCGAGCAACGCCGCGUGAGUGAAGAAGGUUUUCGGACCGUAAAGCUCUGUUGUAAGAGAAGAACGAGUGUGGGAGUGGAAAGUUCACACUGUGACGGUAUCUUACCAGAAAGGGACGGCUAACUACGUGCCAGCAGCCGCGGUAAUACGUAGGUCCCGAGCGUUGUCCGGAUUUAUUGGGCGUAAAGCGAGCGCAGGCGGUUAGAUAAGUCUGAAGUUAAAGGCUGUGGCUUAACCAUAGUACGCUUUGGAAACUGUUUAACUUGAGUGCAAGAGGGGAGAGUGGAAUUCCAUGUGUAGCGGUGAAAUGCGUAGAUAUAUGGAGGAACACCGGUGGCGAAAGCGGCUCUCUGGCUUGUAACUGACGCUGAGGCUCGAAAGCGUGGGGAGCAAACAGG
This 763-nucleotide ribosomal RNA is filed under the name uncultured Streptococcus sp. RNAcentral's name for it is "bacterial SSU rRNA". It matches the Rfam family "Bacterial small subunit ribosomal RNA", at positions 28 to 776 of the family's 1533-position model. The record is from RNAcentral. Lineage: Bacteria; Bacillati; Bacillota; Bacilli; Lactobacillales; Streptococcaceae.